GAAACUAACCAUUUUUUGUCUUACCUUUUUCUGUAGUAAACAACAGAGCAAAUGUUCUUAUAACCUAAAUGGGAAUAUGAAUGCAGUAUCAUAGCAACAGACAGAGGUGUCAUUUAAUGGCAGAAGAGAGAUCGCGAGAAAAGGAAUAAUAAGUCCUGCCACACUGAGAGCAAAAACCCUCAGAUAUUUUUGGAAAGGACUUUGUGCUUCACGGUUUUCAAAUCAAUGUGAAAAUUCACCUUUUUCCGAAAGUAGCUGUCAUGUUUACAGUUCAAACUGGGCGAAUUGUCAACAAGAGUGUAACACGAAAAGCCUGUUUUAUCGAAGUGAGCGGCAAAAAUGCAAUCUUCUGUAGAAUUUAGUCUGUAUUGUCCAAAACAGGGGUUCUGUGGUAGGAUGGACAGGAUUUUCUUUUUUAGAUGAUUUCUUGCACCAGGUUACUUAGGUCUAUUGUGUUCAAGUUCUUAAAUAUUAUGUGUUGUAACCAAGCAACGUGACUAACAUUUUGAAAAACACCUAACUAGCUUCCUACAGCUGGUCUGGAUUCACAGCAAAAUGUGCUGUUACAAUACAUGCCUGGAAGGACAUUGCUGCCCAGUGAAAUCCCUCUGCAGCACACCAGGUAUAUGAAAAGAAUCAUGCCCUUUCACUUUAAGGAGGAAACCCCUGAAAUAACAACUCUUCUCUGGUACUGAGAAUCAGUGCAACAUAGGAACGAUAACUGGUUCCCUGAACUCAUUUCUGGAGACACUUUCAAGUCUGUGAAAUGAUGUAGCAGAUGCUGAGCUGAGAACUAGAAGAUAUAUAUGAUUUAAGUGUCAGCUGCCUUGUAUUUAAUGUUUUUUUUUUUUUUGAUCACUAUGGCAGAAGACUGCAGCUG
Long non-coding RNA from Pezoporus occidentalis (night parrot), 880 nucleotides. RefSeq lists it as uncharacterized. The record is from RefSeq and is a predicted model, not a curated record. NCBI's taxonomy places the organism in Eukaryota, Metazoa, Chordata, Aves, Psittaciformes, Psittacidae. The transcript has 4 exons.